AACGAACGCUGGCGGCAGGCCUAACACAUGCAAGUCGAGCGAGAUCUUCGGAUCUAGCGGCGGACGGGUGAGUAACGCGUGGGAACGUGCCCUUUGCUACGGAAUAGCCCCGGGAAACUGGGAGUAAUACCGUAUGUGCCCUACGGGGGAAAGAUUUAUCGGCAAAGGAUCGGCCCGCGUUGGAUUAGGUAGUUGGUGGGGUAACGGCCUACCAAGCCGACGAUCCAUAGCUGGUUUGAGAGGAUGAUCAGCCACACUGGGACUGAGACACGGCCCAGACUCCUACGGGAGGCAGCAGUGGGGAAUCUUAGACAAUGGGGGAAACCCUGAUCUAGCCAUGCCGCGUGAGCGAUGAAGGCCUUAGGGUUGUAAAGCUCUUUCAGCUGGGAAGAUAAUGACGGUACCAGCAGAAGAAGCCCCGGCUAACUCCGUG
Molecule: ribosomal RNA, 433 nt
Filed under: uncultured bacterium
Lineage: Bacteria
Description: bacterial SSU rRNA
Rfam family: Bacterial small subunit ribosomal RNA
Source: RNAcentral